This 250-nucleotide ribosomal RNA is filed under the name uncultured bacterium. RNAcentral's name for it is "partial 16S ribosomal RNA". It matches the Rfam family "Bacterial small subunit ribosomal RNA", at positions 524 to 773 of the family's 1533-position model. The record is from RNAcentral.
GACAGAGGGUGCAAACGUUGUUCGGAAUUACUGGGCGUAAAGCGAGUGUAGGCGGUCUGAAAAGUCGGGUGUGAAAGCCCCGGGCUCAACCCGGGAAGUGCACUCGAAACUGCCAGGCUAGAGUAUCGGAGAGGUUGGUGGAAUUCUCGGUGUAGAGGUGAAAUUCGUAGAUAUCGAGAGGAACACCGGUGGCGAAGGCGGCCAACUGGACGAAUACUGACGCUGAGACUCGAAAGCGUGGGGAGCAAAC